AUUUGUAGAGGAUGAUUUUGGUGCGGUAUCUUCCGAGUUCCUUGGAACAGGACGCCUUAGAGGGUGAGAGCCCCGUACGGUUGAAUGCCUAGCCUCUGUAAAUCUCCUUCGACGAGUCGAGUAGUUUGGGAAUGCUGCUCUAAAUGGGAGGUAAAUUUCUUCUAAAGCUAAAUAUUGGCCAGAGACCGAUAGCGCACAAGUAGAGUGAUCGAAAGAUGAAAAGCACUUUGAAAAGAGGGUUAAAUAGCACGUGAAAUUGUUGAAAGGGAAGGAUUUGUGACCAGACUUUUUCUGGGCGGAUCAUCCGGGGUUCUCUCCGGUGCACUUUGCCCAGUAAAGGCCAGCAUCGAUUUUCGGCGGCGGAUAAAAGCAGUGGGAAUGUGGCUCCCUACGGGGAGUGUUAUAGCCCAUUGUAUAAUACGCUGCUGGGGAUCGAGGUACGCGCUUCUGCAAGGAUGCUGGCGUAAUGGUUAUCAAUCACCCGUCUUGAAACACGGACCAAGGAGUCGAACAUUUAUGCGAGUGUUUGGGUGUUAAACCCUCACGCGUAAUGAAAGUGAACGGAGGUGAGAGCCCGUACGGGUGCAUCAUCGACCGAUCCUGAAGUUUUCGGAUGGAUUUGAGUAA
Molecule: ribosomal RNA, 627 nt
Filed under: soil fungal sp. DM2-378
Lineage: Eukaryota; Fungi
Description: eukaryotic LSU rRNA
Rfam family: Eukaryotic large subunit ribosomal RNA
Source: RNAcentral